This 551-nucleotide ribosomal RNA is filed under the name Clostridium perfringens. RNAcentral's name for it is "partial 23S ribosomal RNA". It matches the Rfam family "Bacterial large subunit ribosomal RNA", at positions 644 to 1193 of the family's 2925-position model. Lineage: Bacteria; Bacillati; Bacillota; Clostridia; Eubacteriales; Clostridiaceae. The record is from RNAcentral.
GGUUAAGUACUUAAGGUACGGAGCCGAAGGGAAACCGAGUCUGAAUAGGGCGACUAGUUGCAUGCCGUAGACCCGAAACCGGGUGACCUAUCCAUGGCCAGGUUGAAGCGAGGGUAAAACCUCGUGGAGGACCGAACCACGUUGCUGUUGAAAAAGCAUGGGAUGAGCUGUGGAUAGCGGAGAAAUUCCAAUCGAACCCGGAGAUAGCUGGUUCUCUCCGAAAUAGCUUUAGGGCUAGCGUCGAGUAUGAGUAGUGGAGGUAGAGCACUGAAUGGGCUAGGGGGCAUAGCGCUUACCGAACCUUAUCAAACUCCGAAUGCCACAUACUUUGAGCUCGGCAGUCAGACUACGAAUGAUAAGAUCCGUGGUCAAAAGGGAAACAGCCCAGAUCGUCAGCUAAGGUCCCAAAGUGUAAGUUAAGUGGGAAAGGAUGUGAGAUUUCUAAGACAACUAGGAUGUUGGCUUAGAAGCAGCCAUUCAUUAAAAGAGUGCGUAAUAGCUCACUAGUCGAGAGAUCUUGCGCCGAAAAUGUAACGGGGCUAAACUUACCA